This 242-nucleotide unclassified non-coding RNA is filed under the name Hevea brasiliensis (rubber tree). The record is from RNAcentral. Lineage: Eukaryota; Viridiplantae; Streptophyta; Magnoliopsida; Malpighiales; Euphorbiaceae.
UCUCUCGGGCGCUGGAAUGGCAGGGGCGCAAGAAAAGCUCGAUAAGAACGUCAAGAUCGGAGUUCUGACCGACAUGAGCGGUCUUUAUUCCGAUAUUUCCGGUGCGGGUGCCGUCCUCGCCACUCAGAUGGCCGUCGAGGAUUCCGGGCUGCGUGAGAAGGGCUGGAAAAUCGAUGUCAUCAGUGCCGAUCACCAGCUCAAGCCGGAUGUGACCGCAGCCAUUGCACGGCAGUGGGCGGACG